CAUAGGCAGCAAGGCCGGGAAACAGUAUUGUGUUUGGAAGCCUGCAAUAAGUGUCAGAGUCAAGGAAAUUGAAAUCUUUGAAAUGGAGUCUUCAGGUGCAGAUGCCCCACCUCGCGCCUCUCCAGUUUACGGCCAGGGGAACGCCUAGCAGAUAUGGGCGGUAUCGAGGAAAUAAAAUACCCGAGGAGGAUAAAAACCGACCAGGGGAAGGAAUUCCGAAUUCAAAAAUGGCAUUAGUUCGUAUGGAAAAGACAACAUACUUCCAGGAAGUAGAAAUGAUUGCUUUAAUAAUGCAACUCCAAAAGGCCGAAAAGUCCAUUUUUAAGCUGUAAUGGGUUGACUAACCAACAAACCGUGGAGUAUUUUCCAAGAUAUAUUUUCACAUAUUUAACUUUUGAGAGCGAAGAUAUGGAUGCGGCACUUGAGCAGAAAAAACCCAUUACCAUCAUCAACAUCGGUUAGAGAUGUAGAUAUUGUGAAAAAGCAAUCCCUAAAGAAUUGUACCUAUUUCACACUAGGAGGAUAGAUCGAAAUUAAUAGACAGCAUCAACAUUUAUUAAAAAUCGAAAUAGCGAAAUCAGUAGAUAAUGAAAGCAAUGGCGUUGACUGCAAAAUACUAGAGCCUAUACGGAAAUAUAAUAACAAUGUUGACCCUGAAAUACUUGAUCCGGUAGAUAAUGCAAAUAAUAAUGUUAAUUGUGAACUGGUAAUCUAGUAAAGUAACUACAGAAGAAAUAGAAGAUUUUGAAAGGAAAUUAGAAAUAGUAGAAAAUGUCUUAACCCAUUAACCUAAACGCGUUCAGGGGGCAGGUAGUGUAACAGAAGUUAC
This is a long non-coding RNA of Belonocnema kinseyi, 829 nucleotides long. RefSeq lists it as uncharacterized. The transcript has 3 exons. The record is from RefSeq and is a predicted model, not a curated record. Lineage: Eukaryota; Metazoa; Arthropoda; Insecta; Hymenoptera; Cynipidae.